AUUGGUACUUACAGAAUGAAGAUGGCUGCUGGUCAACAAACAGCCAAACUGUGAAUCUAAACAGGACAGAAAGAGACAAGUGGCGCUGUUGAUCACUGUUUUGAAACACCUUUUGCAUCUUUAUUCAGGGACGUGUCUUGGGACGAUUCUGCUCCUCCACAUGAGAAGAAACUGAGGCAGUUUUGCAAGUCUUAGAAACUCUCCAAAAGCUUUCUUAUUGUCCACCUUCAUCCACCUCCUGCGUGAUUUGUUUUACCUUGCUCCAGAUUCCACAGGACAUUUCUCCAGAACACAAACAGAAAGCCUUACAGCUGACAUCAACACAAAAAUGCCAUUUGAGGUCCACAUUACUUGUGCAGUUUUAUCUUCAACUCUAACUCUCAUACUAGGUUCAUGGAUUUCUUUUCUGGUUGAUCUAGUUUUGAUAUCUUUAGUUAGUGUUCUCCUCAAUGCCACGUCUUCCAGCAGCACAAGUUUGGUCUUCAGUCCACUGUUUGGAGCGCUCAUCCUUAGGGUGGUGGGCCAACUUGCAGUAAUCUUUGCAUUAUUGGCUGCAGAAGUUGUGUUUAAUUUUAUUCCAAUAUUUGAAAUAAUAAAAAUCCCUGCAGAAGUCUUCUUUUCUUUUACAGCCACCUUUGUCGCUCUGAGUGUAUUUGAUUACCCUGCUUAAGGUAAAUGGAAGGUUUUGAAGAAAAAAAACAAAAAACAAAGUACUGAUUCUGGAGGACGUUUUAUGUUAAAAAA
Long non-coding RNA from Gambusia affinis (western mosquitofish), 744 nucleotides. RefSeq lists it as uncharacterized. The record is from RefSeq and is a predicted model, not a curated record. The transcript has 3 exons. Lineage: Eukaryota; Metazoa; Chordata; Actinopteri; Cyprinodontiformes; Poeciliidae.